AUUCAAAUUUUAAAAAUCCAUUACGGUGAUCUAUUCAAUGAUGACUCGUCAUUACCGGGUUGCACUCGGAAUCUAUACAUUAUAAUAUAUAGAUACAUAAAAUCAUUUGCCCGGAUAUUAUUAUUUGAUAUGAUUUUAUUUUUUGAUAUUUUUAAGUGAAAAAUCUACAUUUUUUUUAAUAUUCAUUCUCAUAUACCUGAUAAUUACCAGAUGAAUACUUCAUAACUGUGACACGUCAUCAAAAAAGUAAGUAUUGAAAUAUUAUUUUAUAUGCCGUACUAAUAAAAAUCUUUCGAACAAUUAAUAACUAUUUGAUGGUUAAACAUGUAGAUUCAAUUAGCUUAAAUAAAUAUUGUUUAAACUGUGUAGUCUUAUAGUCAUUGAAUACAUGCAUUAAUAUAUUAUUGAUUAUACAUUUUAACGACCGGUUGUCUCGCAUACGAUUUCAUGACUGUAAUAUUAUAAUUCAAACAUACAGCCAUACAGGUAAAGUCCAAAGUUCACCAAGCUGAAAAAUGUACAGAAGCCAACAUUCCAAUGGAAUCACAAUAAGCAUACAUGCAAUGCUACUUAAAACUCAUGAAAUCCAUCUCCAAAUGAACUCAAUUGAUGAAAUCCAAUGAUUUGAAUAAUAUGAAUCAAUGAAAAUAUGAAUCAUAAUCUGCAUACCAUUUUGAUGAUGUUGCCCGCAUUCAACCCGCUCCACCACGACAUGAUGGAUUAGAAAUUGCGCCGCGUUUCGUUGUAGCCAACAUCUCAAAGAGCCCGUCAAAUAGUGGUCAUACUAUACAAAAUUCCAAACUUUUACUUGACUACUUUGACUUUUACUCUAACGGAUAUGACCAAUCAUUUUCCUACAAUGCAUCUUAUUAAAGAAAAUAAUAACUCCAAUAUAAAUAUAGAAUUUGAUAAAGCUGA
Molecule: long non-coding RNA, 918 nt
Organism: Rhopalosiphum padi (bird cherry-oat aphid)
Lineage: Eukaryota; Metazoa; Arthropoda; Insecta; Hemiptera; Aphididae
Exons: 3
Source: RefSeq, a predicted model, not a curated record